Molecule: ribosomal RNA, 740 nt
Filed under: Furcina ishikawae
Lineage: Eukaryota; Metazoa; Chordata; Actinopteri; Perciformes; Cottidae
Description: partial 12S rRNA
Rfam family: Bacterial small subunit ribosomal RNA
Source: RNAcentral
AGCAGGUAUCAGGCACUUCCCCGAAGGCCCACGACACCCUGCCUAGCCACACCCCCACGGGACCUCAGCAGUGAUAAACAUUAAGCCAUAUGCGAAAGCUUGACUUAGUUAUAGCUAAGAGGGCCGGUAAAACUCGUGCCAGCAACCGCGGCUAUACGGGUGACCCAAGUUGAUCAGCCACCGGCGUAAAGCGUGGAUAGGACAGAACCCCCACUAAAGCCAAACACCUUCUAAAGCUGUCAUACGCAAUCAAAGAUAGGAAGUCCGACCACGAAAGUGGCUUUAUGUAGUCUCAACCCACGAAAGCUAGGGAACAAACGAGGAUCAGAGACCCUCCUAUGCCUAGCCAUAAACAUUGAUGGCCCAGUACACUCACCAUCCGCCCGGGAACUACGAGCAAGUGCUUAAAACCCGAAGGACCUGGCGGUGCUUUAGACCCCCCUAGAGGAGCCUGUUCUGGAACCGAUGCCCCCCGUUCAACCUCACCCCUACUUGUUUAUCCAGCCUAUAUACCGCCGUCGUCAGCUUACCCCCUGAGGGGCCGUAAGUAAGCAAGACUGGUACUACCCAAAACGACAGGUCGAGGUGUAGCGCAUGGAGGGGGAAGAAAUGGGCUACACUCGCUACUACAGCGAAUACGGAUGAUGUGCUGAAACACACACCUGAAGGAGGAUUUAGCAGUAAGCGGAAAGUAGAGCGUCCCGCUGAAAAUGGCCCUGAAGCGCGCACACACCGCCCGU